RNAcentral lists this ribosomal RNA (445 nucleotides) under uncultured bacterium. Its description in RNAcentral is "SSU rRNA". It matches the Rfam family "Bacterial small subunit ribosomal RNA", at positions 26 to 518 of the family's 1533-position model. The record is from RNAcentral.
AGAGCGAACGCUGGCGGCAUGCUUAACACAUGCAAGUCGCACGGGCAGCAAUGUCAGUGGCGGACGGGUGAGUAACGCGUAGGUAUCUAUCCUUGGGUGGGGGACAACUGUGGGAAACUACAGCUAAUACCGCAUGAUAACUGAGGUUUAAAGGCGCAAGUCGCCUGAGGAGGAGCCUGCGUACGAUUAGCUAGUUGGUGGGGUAAAGGCCUACCAAGGCGACGAUCGUUAGCUGGUCUGAGAGGAUGAUCAGCCACAUUGGGACUGAGACACGGCCCAAACUCCUACGGGAGGCAGCAGUGGGGAAUAUUGGACAAUGGGCGAAAGCCUGAUCCAGCAAUGCCGCGUGUGUGAAGAAGGUCUUCGGAUUGUAAAGCACUUUCGACGGGGACGAUGAUGACGGUACCCGUAGAAGAAGCCCGGCUAACUUCGCGCCAGCAGCCGC